AGCUUUGCACACUGGCAGUAGUUGCCAAUGAGGUUAAUCCGAGGCAUGAUUAUUACUAAUUGAAAACUUUUCCCAAUACCCUGCCAUGAUGACUUGAAAUAUAGUCUACAUUGGCAAUUUUUGACAGUUUCUAUGGAGA
Molecule: small nuclear RNA, 139 nt
Organism: Heteronotia binoei (common prickly gecko)
Lineage: Eukaryota; Metazoa; Chordata; Lepidosauria; Squamata; Gekkonidae
Product: U4 spliceosomal RNA
Exons: 1
Source: RefSeq, a predicted model, not a curated record